UACGAAGGGGGCUAGCGUUGCUCGGAAUCACUGGGCGUAAAGGGUGCGUAGGCGGGUUUUUAAGUCAGGGGUGAAAUCCUGGAGCUCAACUCCAGAACUGCCUUUGAUACUGAAGAUCUUGAGUCCGGGAGAGGUGAGUGGAACUGCGAGUGUAGAGGUGAAAUACGUAGAUAUUCGCAAGAACACCAGUGGCGAAGGCGGCUCACUGGCCCGGUACUGACGCUGAGGCACGAAAGCGUGGGGAGCAAACAGG
This 253-nucleotide ribosomal RNA is filed under the name uncultured bacterium. RNAcentral describes it as "partial 16S ribosomal RNA". It matches the Rfam family "Bacterial small subunit ribosomal RNA", at positions 524 to 776 of the family's 1533-position model. The record is from RNAcentral.